Molecule: long non-coding RNA, 1672 nt
Organism: Vespula vulgaris
Lineage: Eukaryota; Metazoa; Arthropoda; Insecta; Hymenoptera; Vespidae
Exons: 3
Source: RefSeq, a predicted model, not a curated record
UCCACGCGGUGGGACCUGGGUCGGUAGUACUUGAUGUAAAAAGAUUUUCGAAAUCUAUGUCUAAAUUACAUCUAAAAUCUGUCACUGAAUUAUGUAUAUAAUUAUAAAACGCAAGUACUACCGGGCGAAUGGCUGCAUAUUUUUAUAUUUUUCGAAAACCUUUCUGCUGUCUAAUUUUAAUGAGACGUUACGUAAAUUACAUUUUAAAUUGUUAAUUAUAUUUCCACAGAUAAAUAAAUUGAACAUAACAAGUUUCUAAAUUAAUUUUCUAACAGGACGCACAGAAAACUAUUCUGUCGCCCUUACGUUCGCUGUCAUUCUUAUUUAUGUUUAUAUAGUUUCGAUAACAAUAUACUUUUAUUAGUUAUGUUAAUUAUAUACUUUUAUUAAUUUUAUACUAUUAUUAAUUAUUAUAAUAACACACUUUUAUUUAUUAUAUUAAUUAUUUUUAUUAACUUGUAUUAUUUAUUAGUCUCGGUUGGGACCCUUGCCGGCCUUUGGGCGGGCUACUAUUUCAGUAUCUUUGCAAUGCUAUUUUCCUUUUGUUCUAACGUUAACUUUUCUCUCUUUCUUUUUUCCUCCUCUUCUUCUAUAACUGUUGUCAAAGUCACUUAUAAUACCGGACAAAUGGUAGCAUAUUUCAAUGUUUUUUCAAUACCGAACAAUUAUUUUUCAUUUUGGAAUUAAAUUGUGAAUUGAGGAUCAUUUUCUUCGUGAGUCAACAAAAAAUUCGGAUCAUUGACCGACUUUGCCAAUUACUAGUUCAGUUUCGCUUCGAAUUUCGACGAGUUCACAUCGUAGAUUUCGCAGUACGCAUUCUCCGCAAGUAAUAGAGAAGAGUUAAUACAUGUGCAAUAAUGGAUCAAUCAUUCAUUCAAUAAUCUACACGAUUUGUAUGGUUUCACAAUCAAGUGGAGUGGUGGGGAUACUCUGCCACUCGUGAAGAGAUAUAAGGAGGCCAAUUUUGACAGUAGGUCUAGUCUUGUCACGAAUUUCAACGAGUCCAAUCUCAAUCCUCGCAGUACGCAUGCUCCAGAAGUAAGAGAGAAGAAUUAAUAAUCAAGUGGUGUGGUGGGGAUACUCUGGCACGCGUGAAGUGAUAAAAGGGGAUGGACUUUGACAGUUGGUGCAGUCUUGCCACGAAUUUCAACGAGUACAAAUCACAAUCCUCGCAGUACGCAUGCUCCAGAAGUAAUAGAGAAGAGUUAAUAAUCGAGUGGUGUGGUGGGGAUACUCUGGCACGCGUGAAGUGAUAAAAGGGGAUGGACUUUGACAGUGGGUGCAGUCUUGCCACGAAUUUCAACGAGUCCGCAUCUCAAUACUCGUAGUACACACGCCUCGUAAAUAAAAGAGAAGAGUCAGUCCAAUUGUAAAUGUGCACAUUGAGCUUAAACGAGGAUACCAAGUUCUCUCUUUACGACGAAUUACAUAAAGGGAAUAUUCGUUUAGCUUAUAGUUCAACACUUUUCAUUUUCAUUUUAUCUUAUAAAUACAAACGGAAUUAAAUUUAGAAUUUUAUUUUUCAUAAAUAAUGUUAACAAACACACACAGUUUCUUUUUUAUGAAAUGAAGCUAUAUUACCUAAUUAGUAUACAUUUCUAUUUAUUGCUUUCAUAUCUAUUAAUUAUAUACAUUUAUAUUAAUCGUAUACAUUUUCAUUAAAUAAAUAUUA